RNAcentral lists this ribosomal RNA (253 nucleotides) under uncultured bacterium. RNAcentral's name for it is "partial 16S ribosomal RNA". It matches the Rfam family "Bacterial small subunit ribosomal RNA", at positions 524 to 776 of the family's 1533-position model. The record is from RNAcentral.
UACGGAGGAUGCAAGCGUUAUCCGGAAUGAUUGGGUGUAAAGCGUCCGCAGGUGGCUAUGUAAGUCUGCUGUUAAAGAGUGAGGCUCAACCUCAUAAAAGCAGUGGAAACUACAUGGCUAGAGUGCGUUCGGGGCAGAGGGAAUUCCUGGUGUAGCGGUGAAAUGCGUAGAGAUCAGGAAGAACACCGGUGGCGAAAGCGCUCUGCUAGGCCGCAACUGACACUGAGGGACGAAAGCUAGGGGAGCGAAUGGG